This 677-nucleotide ribosomal RNA is filed under the name bacterium 4878K4-B2. Its description in RNAcentral is "bacterial SSU rRNA". It matches the Rfam family "Bacterial small subunit ribosomal RNA", at positions 826 to 1502 of the family's 1533-position model. The record is from RNAcentral.
GGUCCCUUGAGGACUUAGUGGCGCAGCUAACGCAAUAAGUUGACCGCCUGGGGAGUACGGCCGCAAGGUUAAAACUCAAAUGAAUUGACGGGGGCCCGCACAAGCGGUGGAGCAUGUGGUUUAAUUCGAUGCAACGCGAAGAACCUUACCUACCCUUGACAUCCAGAGGACUUUCCAGAGAUGGAUUGGUGCCUUCGGGAACUCUGAGACAGGUGCUGCAUGGCUGUCGUCAGCUCGUGUUGUGAAAUGUUGGGUUAAGUCCCGUAACGAGCGCAACCCCUAUCCUUAUUUGCCAGCGAGUAAUGUCGGGAACUCUAAGGAGACUGCCGGUGACAAACCGGAGGAAGGUGGGGACGACGUCAAGUCAUCAUGGCCCUUACGGGUAGGGCUACACACGUGCUACAAUGGCAAGUACAAAGGGUUGCAAUACUGCGAAGUGGAGCCAAUCCCAUAAAGCUUGCCUCAGUCCGGAUUGGAGUCUGCAACUCGACUCCAUGAAGUCGGAAUCGCUAGUAAUCGUGGAUCAGAAUGCCACGGUGAAUACGUUCCCGGGCCUUGUACACACCGCCCGUCACACCAUGGGAGUGGACUGCACCAGAAGUGGUUAGCCUAACCUUCGGGAGGGCGGUCACCACGGUGUGGUUCAUGACUGGGGUGAAGUCGUAACAAGGUAACCA